Molecule: ribosomal RNA, 440 nt
Filed under: uncultured bacterium
Lineage: Bacteria
Description: partial 16S ribosomal RNA
Rfam family: Bacterial small subunit ribosomal RNA
Source: RNAcentral
CCUACGGGUGGCAGCAGUAGGGAAUAUUGGACAAUGGGGGAAACCCUGAUCCAGCGACGCCGCGUGAGUGAAGAAGGAUUUCGGUACGUAAAGCUCUGUCGGCAGAGAAGAAAAUGACGGUACCUGACUAAGCAGCCCCGGCUAACUACGUGCCAGCAGCCGCGGUAAUACGUAGGGGGCAAGCGUUAUCCGGAUUUACUGGGUGUAAAGUGAGCGUAGACGGCAGCGCAAGUCUGGAGUGAAAUGCCGGGGCCCAACCCCGGAACUGCAUUGGAAACUGUGAGGCUGGAGUGCAGGAGAGGUAAGUGGAAUUCCUGGUGUAGCGGUGAAAUGCGUAGAUAUCAGGAGGAACACCGGCGGCGAAGGCGGCUUACUGGACUGUAACUGACGUUGAGGCUCGAAGGCGUGGGGAGCAAACAGGAUUAGAUACCCGUGUAGUC